RNAcentral lists this microRNA precursor (149 nucleotides) under Otolemur garnettii (small-eared galago). RNAcentral describes it as "miRNA (ENSOGAG00000021221.1)". Lineage: Eukaryota; Metazoa; Chordata; Mammalia; Primates; Galagidae. The record is from RNAcentral.
CAGAACAUGGAAUUAAAGUUGAAUUUCAGAUAAACAGGGAAUACUUUUUUAGUAUAAGUACAUUCUAUGAAAUUUUGGGAUAUACUUAUACUAAAAAAAUUACUCAUUGUUUAUCAGAACUUCAGAUUUCACUGGACAUCCUAUAUUUU